GCUAGUGAGCUGAUCCCAUGAAAAUAUGGGCAAAUGAUCACAUUCCUUUGGAUAAGAAAGAAGCUCAAGCACAUUUAUAUCAGCCUAGGCUCAUAUUUUGUACUGAGACAAUCUUGAAUACAAAAAUAGAAUCGUUUAAAGUAUCCCCAUUCACACCAGGUCUUGUUUAGGGGGAAAUCUAAUGAGCCACAAAUAGAAGCAUAUACUCAAGCACAUUUAUAUCAGCCUAGGCUCAUAUUUUGUACCGAGACAAUCUUGAAUACAAAAAUAGAAUCGUUUAAAGUAUCCCCAUUCACACCAGGUCUUGUUUAGGGGGAAAACUAAUGAGCCACAAAUAGAAGCAUAUACCAGGAAAUCUCAAGCAAACAAAAAAAACGCAGAAUAAUAAGACAUACAGGCAUAGAUAUGAUGCAAGCCAAAAAUCAAUCACAUGACGUGAGGGAAGCUCCCAAACCUAAUCUGAAUAACUCAGUCAAAUGGAUCUCCAUCUUUCUUCAGCCACUACACUUUGCAGACCUGAAUAUUGUGAGUGGACUGGAAUCGCCAUAUAGGCUGUCUACCACUCUGAACAAGUGCCACCUCUUCUCCCUCCUUCACCAUUCCUUGCUUCUGUACAUCAGCCAUAGAAUUCAUCAUGAAACAAGCACACAGUAGUUCAGCACACUAUAUCAAUAAUCAAUCUUUUUGCAAUAAAACAGUGGUAGAAAAGCAACAAGGUGCAUUAUGAUCAAAUGAACCAGACUCCACAGACAUCACUACCGGUAUUCUGAAUAUUAGGACUCAUGAUAAUGACAGAUGAGAAUUGUACUUAUGUUGCUCUCCAAAGUUAUUGCUCAUCACGGUAAAGGUCAUCAUCUAUCUGAAUGCCCUUUAUGUAAGCAUUUCAAAAUUGGUUAUCAUGGAAAAUCCCAAUCAUGGAAACCAAGAAAUAUACCAAUUACAACAAAUGAGCAGAAAACUAUGUUGAAGGUCAAUGCCGGUCCCACUCAAAAAUGGAUCCAAACUAGGUUGAAUUUUUUAACCCAAAAUCCCCCAAGCAUCAAGGCACCUCAGUAUCAAAAUAAUGCAUGCAGGUUUUGAACUAUUUACACAUUUUAAUCUUCAGCUGGAUACCUCUAAACAACUACUUGAAGUUUGGUCCAAAAUAACUAUAAACCAACUGAUGCAUGAAUAACUACAUCCAUAGUUACCAGCCAAUUAAAGGGAAUUUUCAUAAUGAAUUCUCCAGUAAAACCUUACCUGCAGCAAAGCUAAAGCAGUCUUAAAAGUUUCCUCCGCAUCAUCUGAGAACUCCAUGUAUAUGGGACAUACUCCUUGAUACAAAGCCAACCUCUGUUGUAUCUUUUUCCUGCAUGACCAUUAAAGUCAUUUUCAGUCAAAUUUUCAAGAUCAUAAAGCCCAGCAAUGGUAGAUACUCAUUUUCAGCCAUACACUCUUGGUCAAAUAUUGCACUUCUGAGUUCAUAGAUACUGUCAUCCUACUACCUUUUGGGAUUAAUAUUUCUUCAUCAAGCCAAACCUCCAAUGGGUUAGACCAUUAUUAUGCCAUAGUACAAGACAAAUCAGACAGAAAGCUAAAACCUGGCUCCCAACCCCCUCCACCCCACCCCCCCCCCCCCCCCCAAAAAAAAAAAAAAGAAACAGAAGGGAGGAGGCUUUAAAGCAAAUACACAGUAACAAAUAUGAGAUUCAGGAAUGGGUGAAACUCACUCAUUUGUGAAGGCAAAAAUAGUGCCAGAAGGACGAUAAUGGCUAAGUAAUAUAGCCAUGAAACCAGUUCUAGUGAAGACAACAGUGGAGAUUCCAAGAGUAUUUGACAUCAUAGUUGCAUGAUAUGCAAACAUCUCACUCGUAUGGUUCUACAGAGAAAGUAACUCCAGUCAGUAUUGAUAUUUGACAAAGAAAAACAAAGCAUUAAGAAUGUUGACCAAAAAACAAAGAAAAAAAAGGGAGUCAUAAAGCAUAUGGAAAGUGCAUGAAGCAUGUUAAGUGACCUUAAAUGCUUGACCAAGAUUAGGUGGCAUUUCACCAACAGAUAUGGUUGCUUCAGUUCGUAGUGCAACUGUAUGCAUCACUUUAACAGCUUUCAAUGGGAACCUGCAAGAGAGUGAAAUCUAUUAACUAGAGUGCACGUAGGUAGAGUAAUUUGCAUAAAGUGUUCAUACAAUAAAUUGCUCAAGAGCAAAGGUAAAGCGAGCUGGCAGAUACGACAUUCCAAUUGUAUGUCCCAAGGAAAUUAGCUAAAUUGAUUUUUAAGUAUAAGUAAUGACCAUAUUCUUCUAACUUCACCAACUAGGAUCCAAGAAUAUCCAUAUAAACCUGUCAGAUUACCUCAAGGUAAAUUUCCAAAUUAAACCAUUACUCCAAUAUAGAUCAUUAUUUAUUAGCAUAAGACAAAAUGAAAUCCUUACCUAAUUUUAAUUUUAAUAGAAAAUUUAACAAGGAUGACUUUCCAAAUAAGUAAAAGGGGAAUGACAAGGCAUAAAUUAGAAUAAAAUUCUAAAACGCCAUGUAAGUAACUUAUUAACUUACUUUCCAUGUGCUGUUUCCCCAGAAAGCAUGACAGCAUCAGCACCCUCUCGAACGGCAAUGGCAAUGUCAGAUACCUCUGCUCUUGUUGGUGUUGGAUGAACAAUCAUGCUUUCAAGCAUAUUGGUUGCCACAAUAACAGCUUUUCCCAUGCUUCGACAUGUUCUAAUUAUCUCUUCCUACAUUUUAAAAAAAGUAGAGUUUUUAGUGGCCGAAUAAACACAAUUUUCAUUUCUUUACUAGUUAAGAAAAUAUGUUUGAUAAUUCAUGUAAAUCCAGUCUUUACCGUUCAAUUGAAAACUAAACCAACCUGCAAAAGAGGAACCUCCUCGAUGGGAAGCUCUGCACCAAGAUCUCCUCUUGCAACCAUUGCCUAAAAUAUGAGAACCUGAAUUACUUUCCACAGCACAUAUAUUGCUAAAGUGGCAAUAACUAAAUUUUACUUUCAAAUCACGUUAUCGUCCAGACUUCCACCACCCUCCCCAUUACAGCAUAGAAAAUAGUAAAUAGAAGUAACAGCAAAAUCCACCAGAUGGUACUUAAUAUUUGAAAUGAAAAGCCUCACAAUAUUGUAGCACCAAUUUCCUAAAAAUUUGAAGAACUUUUUUCUUCAGCAAAGAUAGAGCUCAGAGUAUGAAAUAGUUUGAAAAAACUACACCUUUAUUGCAUAAAAUAAUAACUGUAAAAUUUAGCUGCCUUAAAGAUCCAAUGAAAAGAUUUAAGUGAUCACCCCAUCAGAUGCUGUUAUGAUUGAAUGUAAAUUUGGAAUAGAGUCAGCACUUUCAAUUUUAACAAUAACAUGAAUAUCUGCAUCACAACCUGCCAAAAGCAAAGAAAAAAAACUCAUUGGUGAAGAAUUUAAACCUUAUACCAAGUCCACAGUUGUUAUUUCCUGAAAAUACUAUAAGAAGAAAAAUGGUAACUUACUCUGCAGAUAAUUCUUCAACUCAUGAACUACUUGUGCAUCUUUAACAAAGGAAACAGCAUAAAAAUCAACUUUAUUGUCUACCCCAAAUUUUAUGUCAUCCCAGUCCUUUUCUGCAGAAAACCAACUGAAAUAGUUAAUCUGCUGCUGCCCAAGAUCCCUCAACUCAAAAGGGAGAGAGUGAGGAAAAAAAAGAGAGAAAGGAAAAGGCGAGGCAAGUGGAAAAUCUACAAAGUAAUAGAAAUGACAACAAUUAAAAUUCAAGGACCAACCAGUUAUAGAAGGCAGUGUAGCACUUUUUCCUCGGACAUUUAAAUGCCGCCUAGACUUAAGCUCACCACCAUCAACUACUUCACACUUCACUGAAUCUUCUGUCUUAGACUUCACCAUCAAUGACAUCAUGCCACCUAUAUCAUGAACCAAAAGUCAGAGGAACAUAUAAUCAACAAAAGGAAAAAGUCUACAAUGUACUUUUACUCAGCCAAUAGAAUCAACAAAAUUCCCCCAUAAUGCUGAAGAUUUCAUUUAUGACUUAGACAAAGACCCAAAAUGGAUUGAAGUGCAUUUGCAUAGGCAUAAGAUUGUAUUCCGUUCUCAUGUAUAUGUUUAGGUAGAAGACAUGCCUGACAACACUAUCAACAAGCCCCUAGCUAAAUUAUUAAGAACUUGACAGAUGAGGUGAAAACCUUCUAAUUCAUUUCUAGAUCAUUAAAUUCUUUCUUCAGCAAAUGCUCCCAAGGACCAGAUUACAUAUUUGCAGUCUUAGGCUCUUGCUAAUUGUAUCAUAAUACUAAAAGCAUAUCAUAUUUUCAGACUAAAGGGAAAAGACGAGUAUCAGUCUAGAACUGAUCUACAUUAUUCUUGAAAAGUUCGAUAUGACUUUGCUCAUGCAUGCUGGCUGCUGGUUUCAUGGGAGAGGGGGGACUAAGAUUAAGCAAUAUAUAAAACAUCAAAAAGUUAAAAAAACCUGCAUAGUUUAACAGUCUGUUGAAAGUAUCAAGGUAGCAUACCAUCAACAAGAAGCAUGUCGCCCACUUCUACAUCAUUAACGAAAUCGUCAUAGUUGACACUAACACAAUCAGGUGUCCCAAUCCCUCUCCGAAUUGUAAAAGUAAAUUCUUGCCCAGUUGUUAAUGUAAUUGGUUGGGGCAAGUCGCCACUCCUAACCUCAGGACCCUUAUAAACAGAACCAAAUAUUCAUAAGAACACAAUAAAUGAAAAGGAUUAGAACUAUCGCAAGAAAAUUACAUAACAUGAGUUAUAUUAUUGUUGCCUACAACACUAUAUCCGACCAAUUAUAAAUCUGGAUGACUUCAUUAUAUUAGCAACAAUAUACUUUACAACCUUGUACAAUUGUGAGAUACUAAAUUUAAUUGCUCAUAACCUCACAAGGAUAACAAAUAAACGGAGGCAAAAACUAUAUGCACAUGCAUGAACAGAUGUAUUUUAUAUUACAACCUCCCUCAUUUAAUUGCCCAAAACAGAAGCUGACAAAUAUACUGUCACUUGUACAUGCUUGCUAGGCUUACUCCAGAAUAGACUGCUAUGGUUAAAACCAUAACAGAGCCUGUUCAAAAUCCAAGAAAAAUUUUGGCAAGUUCAUUUAAGUCUAUGAUAAGGGCAUUAUUUAAGAGGACAAAGUCCUGACAAUAAUUUUGGAAAAGAAAGAUUCAUGCCGUGUCUAACUCUCACAAUACCAAACUCAUUGACUAAGGCAACCAGACAUAACGGCUUUACACAGUAAAUAAAUGAAAUCAAGGGAAACUUGCCUUGGUGUCAAGCAUGAUUGCCAGAGUGUUGUCUUUGGAUUGUGCAUUAUACUCCUUAACUAAAUCAAUAACUUUCUGAUGAGAUGCAUGGUCUCCAUGAGACAUAUUCAAACGAGCAACGUUCAUUCCAGCCUCGGCCAAUUUCCAUAUCAUUUCUCGCGUGUUUGUUGAAGGGCCAAUAGUGCCAACAAUCUUUGUUUUACGUCUAACAAUAGGCUUGGACCACAUACCCACUGAUGUGUCGCCUAAUUGUUGAAUCUCCCUUAACUGCUCAUACUGCUUCCCCCUCUGAAGGAAAAAAUGGUAAGAAAGGUUACAAAUAAUGAUUCCAACAAAUUUCUCUCAGCAACUGUCCACAAUAAGUUAUUUGAUUACAGAUAUAAUAACAAUAAAAACAUAGUGACUACGUCAUGCAACAGCAAAGGCUCAUCCUAUACCAGAGUAAAUAAGAAAAAAAAACUUGAAUUUCUGAACUACAACAUGUAAUUCAGACUUCAUCAUUCUAACCAAAAAAAUUAGGAUGUUAUAAACUUCAAGGCUACUUUUCUUUUGCUGGAAAAGUGGAAAUGGGUGGAUAUCAUGCCCCUUUCAUUCAUCUUUUAUGUAAUUGAUAUUUUAAAUAAUUCCUUUAGCACAAAGAUAGGUAUAUAACCCACAGUAUACCAAAAACUGACUUGUAACAAGAUCUCACUGGAAAUUUUGACUUGAGUCCUCAGUUUUUCUCAUGAUUUGGUUUCUUGUUAGUAAAUGUAACAGUCUCAACAGUCUCAGUAAAGUAUCUAUAGUACAUAGUACAUAGUGGCUAGCAGAUUUCCCCAUUUCAGAAAAAAAAAAAAUCCACAUUUCUAUCUGUGGAUGGUACAAAUUUCGAUAAUAGGAAAAUGGAUUUUCAACAAACCAAAUAGAACCUUAUUCAACUUGACUAUAUUGGGGAGAUGAGGCAAACCUUGAGUUAGGAGCACACCAAAGGAGCCCAUACAUACAUGUAGGACACCACUUCAACCCAAAAGCCUAAGCUAUUUGGUUCUUGGAUCUUCCAUGUAUAUAUGUCACCUUACAUCCCACUUUUUAUUGAUGUGAGAUGUGUCACACUCGCAUGUGAACCUCAACUGUCCCUCCCAUUUACUUGUGAGUUGUGAUCAGCUCCCCAUGCAAGUAAGCUGUCAAUGCACCCUUAGGCCCAACACUCAUCCUCGCAUCUCUAGUGCGUCUGAUUGUGUUAGUGCAACCUUAGAUCACCUGUGAGUCUAGGUUGUCUCAGUGCCCUUUAAGCUUGCACUCGACCAUAGGUUGUCUCAACACACCACCUUGUUGUUUGUUCAGAAAUAAUACAUCACCAUACUUGCCGCAUCCAAUUCAAACCUUUGGCUUUGAUACCACCACCAUACUUGCCACAUCCAAGUCAAUCCUUCGGCUCUAAUUACACUUGCUGGGAAAUGAGCCAAACCUUAAGUACAUAUAUACAUGUUGAACACCACUUGAACCUAAAAACUUAAGUUAUUCUCUAUUGGUUUCUUGGAAGAUUCCAUGUAUAUCCCACUUUCCACUUUUUAGCUGAUAUGAGAUACAUAAGUGAACCCACUCACAUGAAAACCUCAAUAGCCUGCAAUCCAUCUUAUCACUCCACUUAUGACCUAAACGAUUUUCAGCCUAUUGCUUUCUUAGUUCCUGACUUAAUCCAGAAACAUUAACUAAGAUUUUAAGAAGGUCAAUUUUUUUUUUUCUUUUCGCAUGCUUUAUCAGUAAUCAAACACAUAAGAAAAGAGGACGAUCAGAAAGGUUCUAAGUCGGCACAAACCUUCGGUACAUCCUCGGAUGAUACGGGAAUAACUUCAGGCUCGGCACGUGCGGGGCUCUUAGCUGUAAUCCGAGAGCUACACCUAAGCACCAUUCUCUCGCUCUUCUUGUCACCACGUGCCAGCACUUUCGAAGCGAAGGUCGCUGGCUUAAGCUUCUCCACUCGCUCUUGACUGGAUCCGGGGCCCUGGCUCAAGAAUGAACCGUGGAUCGAUCUAGUGGCCACCACUUGAGCCAUUGCUAAAACGAGAGAGGCAGAGAGAGAGAGAGAGAGAGAAAACGAAAACGUGUAAAAGGAGAGGAAGACGAUGAAAGGUGUGGGAUUUUUAUUGACUAUUAAGAAAGAAAAUGGAUGUUGGAGAAAUCGCCGCUAAUUUUGGAGCAAGCUGAAAACACAGACUUAAAAGGAGGCUGGGAAAUGGAAAUGAAGAGAGCAUAGAUUGCAUCGACAAUAGUACGGAGGUUUUUAUUCAUCUCCUUUAACUAUUUUUUUCAAAACGGUUGGGAAUUUGACAAUUUGUUAUUGUCAAGGAAAAUACGACGUCGGCAGGAGUUGGAUUGAACCCUUUGAUGUGAGACGACGUCGUUCGGCUUGUCGCUUUUAGAAUUCCGUUCCGAAAUUCCGCAUAGAUUAUGACUUUGAAAGGGAAAAAUCGAAUUCAAAAUUUUUUUCUUUUUAAAAUUCCAUUUUAUUUCAUUGAAUAUUUUACUUCGUAAAAAAUUAUUAACUUUGUAGUUUUAAUAAUAAUCACAGUUGGCAAAUAAUCAAAAAAUAAAAAAAAAUUCAUGGAGCUCUUGUUUUACUAUUAUAAUAAAACACAUAAAAAUUAUUUUGUUUUUAAACAAAUUAAGGCAUGUUAGUUUUGAACUUAUUACUUUUGUGUUCUUUAAUAAAUUAAAAAUGAGCAUAUCUUAGAAUUGUAACAGAACUUGAACACGUAAGGUCUGCAAAGUUAAAGGGUGAAAUUUUUUAUUGUUUAGCUUGCGUAUAAAUGCAAUUUAAUUUUUAAGUUAUGAUUGUAAUUGAGUUAAAUGAAUAAAUAGUACUAUUAAUAAUAUAUUACGGAUAAAUAUUUUUUAAAAUAAAAUCCAUACACUUAUAUUAAUCAACCAUUUAAAAAAAAAACAAUGCAAAUAAAAUUGAUCACAAAUAAAAAAAUAAAGUGAUAAACAAAACAUAAUUGUUAAAAUAAAUAUAAAAAUUAACUAAUCUUGUUACUUUUGAAUAAAUUUUAUAAUUAUUAAAAUAAAUAGAAAAAUUAACGAAUCUCUUUGAUAAAGUUAAUUAUCCCAACAUAAUAGGUUGGUGAAAAUUUUGCUACAACAAUAUUAGAAAUUUGAUAAAGUUGAUUAGGAUAGUUUAAUAGAUUGAUUUAUAUGUGAGUCAGUUUGCUAAAAUUUAUUAACCAUUAUUAUUAAAUAAAUUGUAAUAAUAAUAAAAAUAUAUAAAUUAUUUAAAAUAACAAUUUAAAUGAAUAACAAUAUCCAUUUUUGUCAUUUAAUUUUUUUUUUUCACAUCCAUGCUUUUAUACGUAUAUAUUAUAAAUUAUAGAGGUAGGUCAGAAAUUUAUAUGCCUUAACGGGCCUAAUGGGCCUUUAAAUCGAAGUAAUCUAUUCCAUAUAACGGACUUAAUGGGCGGUUCAUGAUUAGAAGAAGGCUAUGGAUUCUCUUUGUUAUAUCUUAAAGGGCCUAAUGGGUCUGUAAAACGACGUAAUCUAAUCUAUUUAAUGGACCUAAUAGGAGGCCCAGGAAUCAGGACCAGAAGAAGGCUAGGGCUUUUCUUUUUUAUUUCCUCGUUGUUGAUGUUAAUCCACUGACCAUAUUCUUCCACGUCUCUUGUAUGCUCGAGCCUCAUUAUACCCUACAGCACCUGAUCCCAUCUUCGGAUACAUUCAAAAGCGCAGGAAAUCUCGUAUUACAGUUGGCACCACAAGAGCCCUAAUCGGCCAAUCUUCCAACAGUAACAUGAACCUUUUUCUUCAACCAUGUUCACCUUCGCACCUCUCUCGCAAAAAUUUUUUUAGGUCUCAUCAUCCUUCCAAAUUUCUUCUGAUCUGAUUCCUCCAUCACCCAAAACCCUAGCCCCUAAUAGUUUCUUCUCAAACCCCCAAUUCGAAAGAGAAAAAUGGACAUGGAGGGCUUAUCAGGGAUCUGCGCCAGUCUUGACAUCCUCGAGGAAGACUAGAUAACGAGGCAGUUAGGGCGAUCACUGUCUAGGUAUCAUUUGCCCCUAUUGAAGUGAAUUUUUGUUUAAUUUAUGUAUUCUGAUUUGAAUAAUCUUAUUUCAAAUAACUUACUUGAAGAUGCAUUGAAGGAUUUACUGAGGUUUUUAAGAAUGGACGAUCCACAAAGGCGUGAAGUAUUUAAGCAAGUUUGCAGGUGGAAUAUUGUUUCAAAAAACUUUAUUCCAAUUAUUGAACACUGGCAACAUUAUUUGGUGUUAAAUGCAGGUUGGUAAAGUUUUGAUGUUAGGGUUUUUCGGUCAUUUAAAAAAAAAAGCGUAGUAAAUGCUACUUGCUUGGUAUUGUUAUCCUUCUGCUUUGAAUUCUUCAGUGAAAGCUUUAGUUUUUCUUUCAAUGCCUAUCGAGCUUUCCUCCAGUGAUAUCCUUCAACAGAUAAAGUAUCUUUGGAAUAUGAAGGUUUCUCUCACGAGCAGUGAAGGUGUUGCAGUUACAGUUUCCCUUCUUGAAGGUCCCUUUGAAAAUUUGGAAUGGUAAGCAAGAAAUGGACCCUUUAAUUGCUAAGUUAAGGUGCAGGAAAAAGGAAAAGAAAUUAGAUGUUGUUCGCAAACCAACCUAAAAUGUUGGUUACCAAAAAUGAAUGAGUUCAACUGUUUUGAAACCUUCAGAAACAAAGGUCUAGCUAAGCUGUUAGAUGCUGUGAUACAGGACGGUCAUUUUUUUCAUGUACAUGUAAAGCAAUUGUGCCAUUAGAUUAGAUCGUUAGCUGUUGUGUUGAUAUCAGCGUUAAUGGUUAACCCUUUAAAUUUCAGUGAAGUAUUCAAAGAAGAUGACUAGAAAUUGCUCCAGCUGGUAGUCACCUUAUUUCACAACAUUCUUGCCAUCCAAGAUAUGUCAUCCUUACAAAAGGCUGGCCAAUUUUUUUAUCAUUGGGAAGACAGAUUUCUUGAAUUUUUGUUCUGUGAGAAUGUAAUGGAUUUAAUUAUAGUUAAAACUCAGCAGAGUGGUGGUUCUCGUAGCUAUCUUCAACAUGAUAACUUGCUUCUAUUAGAAAUUUUUCAUUACAUAUUUAUAGGGCAAGAACUGGAGUUGCUUUCCAAAGCUCAUUUGAAAUGUUCUGAUGUUUGUUUCCCUUUAUUUUUGUCUAAUUUCAUCUGAUUGUUCAGUUUAUUAAUGCAAUUCACAAUUCCACAUGCUUACUUGUUUCUAUUGAAUUCUGUAUUAUAGGAGGGUGCAGAUGCCAAGGCUUUCAUUGAUGGUCUCAAGUCCAUCAUGGAAGAGGAAGCAAAGAAAAGAAGGGCUUCAAGACUCCACUAUACUGGUCACCAUUCACACUUUAGGGGAACAUUUAGACGGCUUACUAUGGUAUGUAGUAUCAUUGUCAUUGACGUCGCUGAUACUUUGCAGGAGUUGCAUCAAUAAAUUUUAUGACUAAUCAUGUUCUGUGUGAAAGGAUGGUUCUAAAGCAGUGUAUAAAGGAAACCCUGAUUAUCCUUUUGAAAAUUCUUUGCUUUGUUGAGAAUUAAGAGCUUGUCUCACAAACUGGAAGCUUUAAUAUAUAUACAAAAAUUUAAAAUAUUGUACAAAAAAUAUAAAAAGAUUUAUAGUGGUUCACUCUCAAUACAAGAGUUACGUCCACUUUUAAAACUAUUGUAGAAAUUUUAUUAUGAUAAGUAUGGAAAAUUACAAAAGAGAAGAAAUAUCUUUUACUUCUUAUAUUUUCACUAGCUCUCUAACUCUUUAUUUUCUUUUUCUCUUACUUUUCACUUUCUCAUUUAAUGCUUGCACAUAAAAGCACAAGCCAAGGUCCUCUUUUAUAGAUGGAGUUCAAGGCUUUUAUUAAUUACAACUUCUAUUAGUCAAUUAUCACUUAACUUCUACUAACAAUUUACAAUUAAUGAUUUACAACAAUCAACUUCCAUCUUCAAUAAUAAAUGAAAAUUGAAUUUGUUUCCAUAUCUUCUAAUAAUAUAUGUUAUCAUUUUUGGCUUGCAAGUCAAGCUUUUAAUUUCCAACAACUGGUAUUAAAGAAGAUUGAAGUUUGUUAGGUGGCAUUGUUCAAGUAUAUAGCACUGUUUAUGUAUACGCUACUGCUCAUGUAUAUGAAAAUUUAGUGAUGUAGAUAAAUACGAUUUUAAGAUAUUUGUCUAAUGAGAAUAGUAAGAUUGAUUUUAAGCCUUUCAAUCUUUCUUAGGAACCUACCUAGUGGGACAAUUUUCGUAAUUUCAUGAUUAAAAGCAAUGGCUAGCGAAGAAGCUAUAACAUAUAGAAUCAACAAAUUUGAUGGAACAUUCUUUUUGGAAAAUGCAAAUGGAAGAUUAUCUAUUCAAUGGAAAGUUGUGUUUAUCACUUCUAGGCAUGAAAUCAAAAAAUAUGUCAUACGAAGAUUGUAAGCUCCUUGACAGAUGGGUGUUGGAGUCAUUCAACUAACACUAUCAAAGAACAUAGCUCACAAUGUUGCCAAGGAGACAUUGACCACAGAUUUGAUGAAGGCAAAGAUUUAAAUAGCGAUUGUGGGGUACGUUUUCGGUUGCAUCACAUUUAUCGAGUUUUCGAAUAUAACGAAGAUCAUUGUGGUCAUCAAGAUCAUCGUGAUCGUGAAUUUUUUUUAAUUUUACACAAUUUAUUAUAAAAUGUGAUAAUUAUAAUUAUAAUCAUAAAAACUCUUAUUUAAUGAUUUUUAAAAUUUUUAUAUAUAUCAUAUUAAAUUAUUAAUCUCUUAUUUUUUUUAAUUAUGAAAUCUCAAUCUCUCUAACUAAAUUUGAUCUAAAAAUAUUUUAAAAAUUACAAAUUUUUAAAUUUAUAUUUUAAUAAAAUUAAUUAUAAAAUUAAAUAAAAUCUACCCACCCCACCUUACCUCUUAAUGUACCUCACCUUACCCGAUCCCAUCCCACCCCAUUUAUAUCUCAGCAACACCCCCCCCCCUUAAAUAAAAUCUACCCACCUUACCUCCCAAUGCACCCCACCCUACUUGAUCCUACCCCACCAAUUUCUAUCUCAGCAGCCCUAGCCCCUGACCCAUUCUUUGAUGCACACUCAAACACCCCCCAAAUUUCCCCAAAAUUUUCCCUAUUCUUCACGUCAUUGCCUCGCCUCAACCCUUUAGCCCUCCCUCAAAUCAACUUAACCAAGCUUAUCAAGUCUUCUUCUUCUCUCUUUUUUUUCAUCUCUCUUUUGCAUACUCUCAUCUCUCUCACUCAGAUUUUCGCAAACACAAAUAUCAACAUUAUUCUAUAAAAAUUUUAAAGAAAAAAGGUAACUUAAUUUUUUUCUUAUCUUCUUUUAUUUUGAUUGUUGAUUAAAGACUUAGGACUUAUUUAAAUUUAGGUAACUGCCUGUCGAUUGAAUGGGUGAUAUUGUUUUUUAAGUUUUUUUAGAUUGAUUUUGAAAUUGAAACUGAGAAUAUAACGACUUAUCUUUUCUUUUGACUUUUGUUUUUACUUUUACUUUUGCAGUCUUAAUUGUUAGCAGAUUGUGUUAAAAGUUUUUUUUUAUUUUAUACUGAUUAUUGGUGAUGGAAAAAUGGGAUAACGGCAAUAACGGACUGUUGUUGCUGCUAUUCCACGUUACGCCGUUUUUUAGUGACCAUUACACAUUAUUUUAAGUGUGAUUAAAUUUCUCAAUCGUGUUUUUCUCGAUGGCGGUGACGGGUGGUGGCACGAUCGUAAUUUCGCGGCCGUUAUUUGAAUCAUUGGAUGAAGGUACUCUCUAAUAUGCAUGAAAAACCUAUUGUAAAUGAUAAGGUUUUUCUCACAAAAAAGUUAUUCUAUUUGAAGAUGGCUGAAGGUGCUUCAGUGGCAUUGCAUCUUAAUGAGUUUAACACAAUUGUCAAUCAAUUGACUUUCGUUGAAAUUGAUUUUGCUAAUCAGAUUCCUGCCGUAAUUCUUCUGGCAUCCCUACCAAGCAACUGGAAGCUUGUGACGACAACGGUUAGUAAUCCUAUUGGUAUUGCAAAAUUGAAAUUUAAUGAUGUUAAAGACCGAAUUCAUGUUGAAGAAAAUCAUAGAAAUGACUCUAGUGAAGCGACGACUUUGGAUUUUGUCUUAAAUCAUAAGAAUUGAGGUAGAGCAAAUAACAGAAACUCUAAUUGAAACGAUAGAAUAUCAAAGUCCAAAAACGGAAAAGUAAUUCUAAAGUUAGACAGAAUAUGAAGUGUUGGAACUAUGAAAAGAUAGAUCACACAGAAACAAUGCUAUUUUUGGAAGUCAAAGUCAAAAUAUGUGAAAGUUGUAUUUUUGGAAAACAAAAAAGACUUUAGGUUCCCAAAAGUUGGAAGGGAGUUGAAAAAAAAAAUUAGAGUUUUAUUCAAAAAAAAAAAAAAUAGAGUUGGUCCUUGACAUAUGAGGGCUUUCACUAGUUACUUCUCUUAAAAGGUUCAGUUACUAUUUAACAUUUAUUAAUGACUCAACCAAUAAGAUAUGGGUUUAUUUUCUAAAGAAUAAAUCCAAUGUGUUUGGUGCAUUUAAACGGUGGAAUGCCAUGAUUAGAAUGAAACAAAUCUAAAAGUGAAAUGUUUGAAGUCCGACAAUAGGGGAGAAUAUUUUGAUAGUAAUUUCAGACAUUAUUGUGUCGAGAAUGGGAUCAAGAUGUUGAAAACCAUUCCAAGGACACCUCAGCAAAAUGGACUAGUCGAAAGGAUGAACGGAACUCUAAAUGAGCAUACAAGAAGUAUGAGAAUUCACAUAGGGCUACCUAAAGCAUUCUAGGCAAAUACAGUCAACAUUGCUGCUUUCUUGAUCAAUAAAGGUCCUUCAGUACCUUUGGAUUGCAAAAUACCAUAAAAGGUUUGUAGUGACAAAAAGUUAAAACUCUCAUUUUUAAAAGUGUUUGGAUGUCUUGCAUAUGUUCAUAUUGAUGAUGCUGCCAAAAGUAAUUAAUUGAAAUCUAAGAAAUGCUAUUUCAUUGGUUAUAGAGAAACUGAGUUUGGUUAUCGUUUUUAGGAUGAUCAAAAUAAAAAAAAAAAAUUAUCAAGAAUAGAGAUGUAAUCAUAAAUGAGCAAAUUCUAUAAAAAGACAAAUUAAGUAAGAUUUCAAAAACUAUAGAUUUUGAAACAAAAAAGUUUAGAGAUAAUUCAUUUGAAAGAUUUUCCAGUGAAUGAUUUACAAUAAAAUUCUUGAGAAACUCAAGUAAACACACCUACAGAAGCACAAGAGAAUAUAGUCACAGAUAUCGAUCAAUCGACUCCAAUAAUAGAACUCAAAAAGUCUUCAAGGAUAAUCAGGCCGCCAUAGAGAUUGUCUCCCUUGCUAAAUUACAUUCUUUUAACUGACAAAGGUGAACUAGAAUAUUAUGAAAAAGCAAUGCAAAUUGUUAAUUUAAUCAAGUGUGAACUAGCCAUGAAAGAUAAAAAGGAUUUGUUGAUGUCGAACCAAACAUAGCAGUUAGGAAAACUACCAGCAAAAAAGAAAGCAUUGCAAAAUAAAUAAGCUUACCGAAUAAAAAAACAUGAUGGUAGUAAACAAUAUAAAGCAAGGCUAAUGGUAAAAGGUUUUCAACAAAAGAAAAAAAGAUCUACAUGCAACAGCCACAAGGUUAUGAGGUCCAAAGAAAAAAGAAAAUGGUGAGCAAGCUUCUAAAAAGCUUAUAUGGUCUAAAACAAGCUCCUAGACAGGUAAAAGAAG
Molecule: long non-coding RNA, 14821 nt
Filed under: Durio zibethinus
Lineage: Eukaryota; Viridiplantae; Streptophyta; Magnoliopsida; Malvales; Malvaceae
Description: long non-coding RNA (DZIB_LNC000078)
Source: RNAcentral